Molecule: ribosomal RNA, 449 nt
Filed under: uncultured organism
Description: partial 16S ribosomal RNA
Rfam family: Bacterial small subunit ribosomal RNA
Source: RNAcentral
ACUCCUACGGGAGGCAGCAGUGGGGAAUAUUGGACAAUGGGCGCAAGCCUGAUCCAGCCAUGCCGCGUGAGUGAUGAAGGCCCUAGGGUUGUAAAGCUCUUUCACCGGUGAAGAUAAUGACGGUAACCGGAGAAGAAGCCCCGGCUAACUUCGUGCCAGCAGCCGCGGUAAUACGAAGGGGGCUAGCGUUGUUCGGAUUUACUGGGCGUAAAGCGCACGUAGGCGGACUAUUAAGUCAGGGGUGAGAUCCCGGGGCUCAACCCCGGAACUGCCUUUGAUACUGGUAGUCUUGAGUUCGAGUGAGGUGAGUGGAAUUCCGAGUGUAGAGGUGAAAUUCGUAGAUAUUCGGAGGAACACCAGUGGCGAAGGCGGCUCACUGGCUCGAUACUGACGCUGAGGUGCGAAAGCGUGGGGAGCAAACAGGAUUAGAAACCCUGGUAGUCCCAUGA